CAUCAGUUUUCAAUGCACUGCCCUCGUUCUCAGAUUACGAGAACAGAAGUUCCCAAUCUGCUCACUUUAUUUCGCAGUAUGUUUUGCAUACCAGCCUCGCCGCGUAUGGCACGACCAUCCCGUGGAGCCUGCGUCCAGGGGCUUUGCUGGAAAACCGAAGACCACAUAGCAGUGAAGUAAGACGGUCCUGACGUCUGGCAGAUCGUCCUCUCCAUCUUCAGGUGACCUCUGCAGAGGGGACAUCUCUUCAGGCUGUUUCUCUCACCUCCAACCUCUCCGGAUCUAUCUGUCAGGUCAACCUAUCAUUUGAAUUUGGCAACCUCAGAAGAAGAUGAAAGCAAAGUAUCUUUAUCACAUAGCCCAGAAGAAUUUACAGCCCAAACAAACCAAUUUCGAGGAGCAAGAGAAGUGGGCUUUUGAGGUCUUAGCUGUUACUUUUCUGCUGUCUUGGAAUAAAAUGUAAUAUUUAUAGAGAGGAAAA
This is a long non-coding RNA of Columba livia (rock pigeon), 481 nucleotides long. RefSeq lists it as uncharacterized. The record is from RefSeq and is a predicted model, not a curated record. NCBI's taxonomy places the organism in Eukaryota, Metazoa, Chordata, Aves, Columbiformes, Columbidae. The transcript is spliced from 3 exons.